This 306-nucleotide unclassified non-coding RNA is filed under the name uncultured Ascomycota. RNAcentral describes it as "sequence contains ITS1". The stretch from base 1 to 105 matches the Rfam family "5.8S ribosomal RNA", at positions 50 to 154 of the family's 154-position model. Lineage: Eukaryota; Fungi; Ascomycota. The record is from RNAcentral.
GAAAUGCGAUAAGUAAUGUGAAUUGCAGAAUUCAGUGAAUCAUCGAAUCUUUGAACGCACAUUGCGCCCGCCAGUAUUCUGGCGGGCAUGCCUGUCCGAGCGUCAUUUCAACCAUCAAGCCCCCGGGCUUGUGUUGGGGACCUGCGGCUGACCGCAGGCCCCGAAAUCCAGUGGCGGGCUCGCUGACACACCGAGCGUAGUAGCAUACACCUCGCUCAGGGAGUGCUGCGGGUUUCGGCCGUAAAACUGCCUUUUCUCAAGCACAAGGUUGACCUCGGAUCAGGUAGGAAUACCCGCUGAACUUAA